Molecule: ribosomal RNA, 254 nt
Filed under: uncultured bacterium
Lineage: Bacteria
Description: partial 16S ribosomal RNA
Rfam family: Bacterial small subunit ribosomal RNA
Source: RNAcentral
UACGUAGGUGACAAGCGUUGUCCGGAUUUACUGGGCGUAAAGAGCGCGCAGGCGGUCGUUCAAGUCGAGUGUGAAAGCCCCCGGCUCAACUGGGGAGGGUCACUCGAUACUGAUCGACUCGAAGGCAGGAGAGGGUAGUGGAAUUCCCGGUGUAGUGGUGAAAUGCGUAGAUAUCGGGAGGAACACCAGUGGCGAAGGCGACUACCUGGCCUGUUCUUGACGCUGAGGCGCGAAAGCUAGGGGAGCAAACGGGG